UUCAGCUCGGCUCGGCUGGCUCGGCUCACAGCGUGACAGCUCAGCUCUCGGCGGAGCUUGAGACGCAUCGAAGAUGGCGACUAGAGGGUAGGGUCGGGCCGGAGACGCGCAUCGCAAGGCAACCUCUUCCCCCCGAUAGAGACAGCCGUGGAGUAUCGGGGCGAGCCACCCGCUCGGGUCGAGUCCGAUCUGGUGGUGGGUUCCUCCGGUUUUCCGCUAAUUCAAGAUUCCGUCGAGGUGCGCAGUGGUUAAAACACUAACUCACACAUAAUCCGCUCGUCCUUCAUUUACGUUGAUACCUAAAUAGCGAUUAACGCGCGUUUAACGUACUCUCGUUCGCUCGUCAACGUCUAGUCAGAAGGAUAGAGGAAAAAAAAUGGAAGAAAGAAGAGAAAUGAAUCGGCGAAAAAGGAAACCGUGACGCUCUGAUCGAGAUAAGGGUCGACAUAUGCGAGAAACCAAGCCAAAGUGUGUAAAUAUAGAAACAAGAUAGCUAGGCUGAUUCAGAGGGAUCUCUCGACGGUCAUCUUCCUCGUCGUGAUGAUAUCGUACUAAAAAAAAAAAAAAAAAAAAAAAAAUUCAAUUCC
Molecule: long non-coding RNA, 587 nt
Organism: Acromyrmex echinatior (Panamanian leafcutter ant)
Lineage: Eukaryota; Metazoa; Arthropoda; Insecta; Hymenoptera; Formicidae
Source: RefSeq, a predicted model, not a curated record